RNAcentral lists this transfer RNA (71 nucleotides) under Cladonia borealis. It matches the Rfam family "tRNA". Rfam says of the family: Transfer RNA (tRNA) molecules are approximately 80 nucleotides in length. Lineage: Eukaryota; Fungi; Ascomycota; Lecanoromycetes; Lecanorales; Cladoniaceae. The record is from Rfam by way of RNAcentral. RNAcentral also lists the same sequence under 2 other names.
GCGACAAUAGUUCAAGGGUAGAAUUCGAGCUUCCCAUGCUCGAGGUCUGGGUUCGAGUCCCAGUUGUCGCA